RNAcentral lists this long non-coding RNA (256 nucleotides) under Mytilus galloprovincialis (Mediterranean mussel). Lineage: Eukaryota; Metazoa; Mollusca; Bivalvia; Mytilida; Mytilidae. The record is from RNAcentral.
UAUUUAUAUAAAAAAGAAGAUGUGGUAUGAUUGCCAAUGAGACAACUAUCCACAAAAGACCAAAAUGACACAGACAUUAACAACUAUAGGUCACCGUACGGCCUUCAACAAUGAGCAAAGCCCAUACCGCAUAGUCAGCUAUAAAAUGCCCCGAUAAGACAAUGUAAAACAAUUCAAACGAGAAAACUAACGGCUUUAUUUAUGUAAAAAAAAAUGAACGAAAAUCAAAUAUGUAACACAUAAACAAACGACAACC